RNAcentral lists this ribosomal RNA (253 nucleotides) under uncultured bacterium. Its description in RNAcentral is "partial 16S ribosomal RNA". It matches the Rfam family "Bacterial small subunit ribosomal RNA", at positions 524 to 776 of the family's 1533-position model. The record is from RNAcentral.
UACGUAGGGUGCAAGCGUUGUCCGGAACUAUUGGGCGUAAAGAGCUUGUAGGCGGUUUGUCGCGUCUGCUGUGAAAUUUCGGGGCUCAACCCCGAACUUGCAGUGGGUACGGGCAGACUAGAGUGUGGUAGGGGUAACUGGAAUUCCCGGUGUAGCGGUGAAAUGCGUAGAUAUCGGGAGGAAUACCUAUGGCGAAGGCAGGUUACUGGGCCAUCACUGACGCUGAGCUGCGAAAGCUAGGGGAGCAAACAGG